This 253-nucleotide ribosomal RNA is filed under the name uncultured bacterium. RNAcentral's name for it is "partial 16S ribosomal RNA". It matches the Rfam family "Bacterial small subunit ribosomal RNA", at positions 524 to 776 of the family's 1533-position model. The record is from RNAcentral.
UACGGAGGGUGCAAGCGUUGUUCGGAAUGAUUGGGCGUAAAGAGCGCGUAGGCGGUUUAUUAAGUCGAUUGUGAAAUCCCCGGGCUUAACCCGGGACGUGCAGUCGAAACUGAUAAUCUUGAAUACCUGAGAGGUUGGUAGAAUUCCUGGUGUAGGAGUGAAAUCCAUAGAUAUCAGGAGGAACAUCGGUGGCGAAGGCGGCCAACUGGCAGUGUAUUGACGCUGAGGCGCGAAAGCGCGGGUAGCAAACAGG